RNAcentral lists this ribosomal RNA (253 nucleotides) under uncultured bacterium. RNAcentral's name for it is "partial 16S ribosomal RNA". It matches the Rfam family "Bacterial small subunit ribosomal RNA", at positions 524 to 776 of the family's 1533-position model. The record is from RNAcentral.
UACGUAGGGUGCGAGCGUUGUCCGGAAUUAUUGGGCGUAAAGGGCUCGUAGGCGGUUUGUCGCGUCGGGAGUGAAAACACCGGGCUUAACUCGGUGCUUGCUUUCGAUACGGGCAGACUAGAGGCAUGCAGGGGAGAACGGAAUUCCUGGUGUAGCGGUGAAAUGCGCAGAUAUCAGGAGGAACACCGAUGGCGAAGGCAGGUCUCUGGGCAUUAACUGACGCUGAGGAGCGAAAGCAUGGGGAGCGAACAGG